GUUGUAUGGUUAAGUGACUAAGCGUACACGGUGGAUGCCUGGGCAGUCAGAGGCGAUGAAGGACGUACUAACUUGCGAUAAGCGCAGAUAAGGCAGUAAGAGCCGUUUGAGUCUGCGAUUUCCGAAUGGGGAAACCCAACUGCAUAAGCAGUUACUGUUAACUGAAUACAUAGGUUAACAGAGCAAACCGGGGGAACUGAAACAUCUAAGUACCCCGAGGAGAAGAAAUCAACCGAGAUUCCGGUAGUAGCGGCGAGCGAACCUGGAUUAGCCCUUAAGCACUCGGUGAAGUAGGUGAACAAGCUGGAAAGCUUGGCGAUACAGGGUGAUAGCCCCGUAACCGACGCUUCAUCGAGCGUGAAAUCGAGUAGGGCGGGACACGUGAUAUCCUGUCUGAAUAUGGGGGGACCAUCCUCCAAGGCUAAAUACUCCUGACUGACCGAUAGUGAACCAGUACCGUGAGGGAAAGGCGAAAAGAACCCCUGUGAGGGGAGUGAAAUAGAACCUGAAACCGUGUACGUACAAGCAGUAGGAGCACCUUCGUGGUGUGACUGCGUACCUUUUGUAUAAUGGGUCAGCGACUUAUAUUCAGUGGCAAGGUUAACCGUAUAGGGGAGCCGUAGCGAAAGCGAGUCUUAACUGGGCGCUCAGUCUCUGGAUAUAGACCCGAAACCGGGUGAUCUAGCCAUGGGCAGGUUGAAGGUUGAGUAACAUCAACUGGAGGACCGAACCGACUAAUGUUGAAAAAUUAGCGGAUGACUUGUGGCUAGGGGUGAAAGGCCAAUCAAACUCGGAGAUAGCUGGUUCUCCCCGAAAGCUAUUUAGGUAGCGCCUCGGACGAAUACUACUGGGGGUAGAGCACUGUUAAGGCUAGGGGGUCAUCCCGACUUACCAACCCUUUGCAAACUCCGAAUACCAGUAAGUACUAUCCGGGAGACACACGGCGGGUGCUAACGUCCGUCGUGGAGAGGGAAACAACCCAGACCGCCAGCUAAGGUCCCAAAGUAUUGCUAAGUGGGAAACGAUGUGGGAAGGCUCAGACAGCUAGGAUGUUGGCUUAGAAGCAGCCAUCAUUUAAAGAAAGCGUAAUAGCUCACUAGUCGAGUCGGCCUGCGCGGAAGAUGUAACGGGGCUAAGCAAUACACCGAAGCUGCGGCAAUGAAGUUUACUUCAUUGGGUAGGGGAGCGUUCUGUAAGCCGUUGAAGGUGAAUCGUAAGGUUUGCUGGAGGUAUCAGAAGUGCGAAUGCUGACAUGAGUAACGACAAAGGGGGUGAAAAACCUCCUCGCCGGAAGACCAAGGGUUCCUGUCCAACGUUAAUCGGGGCAGGGUGAGUCGACCCCUAAGGUGAGGCCGAAAGGCGUAAUCGAUGGGAAACGGGUUAAUAUUCCCGUACUUCUGACUAUUGCGAUGGGGGGACGGAGAAGGCUAGGUGGGCCAGGCGACGGUUGUCCUGGUUCAAGUGCGUAGGCUUGAGAGUUAGGUAAAUCCGGCUCUCUUUAAGGCUGAGACACGACGUCGAGCUGCUACGGCAGUGAAGUCAUUGAUGCCAUGCUUCCAGGAAAAGCCUCUAAGCUUCAGAUAGUCAGGAAUCGUACCCCAAACCGACACAGGUGGUCGGGUAGAGAAUACCAAGGCGCUUGAGAGAACUCGGGUGAAGGAACUAGGCAAAAUGGUACCGUAACUUCGGGAGAAGGUACGCUCUUGAUGGUGAAGUCCCUCGCGGAUGGAGCUGACGAGAGUCGCAGAUACCAGGUGGCUGCAACUGUUUAUUAAAAACACAGCACUGUGCAAAAUCGCAAGAUGACGUAUACGGUGUGACGCCUGCCCGGUGCCGGAAGGUUAAUUGAUGGGGUUAGCGUAAGCGAAGCUCUUGAUCGAAGCCCCGGUAAACGGCGGCCGUAACUAUAACGGUCCUAAGGUAGCGAAAUUCCUUGUCGGGUAAGUUCCGACCUGCACGAAUGGCGUAAUGAUGGCCACGCUGUCUCCACCCGAGACUCAGUGAAAUUGAAAUCGCUGUGAAGAUGCAGUGUACCCGCGGCUAGACGGAAAGACCCCGUGAACCUUUACUACAGCUUGGCACUGAACAUUGAACCUACAUGUGUAGGAUAGGUGGGAGGCUAUGAAGACGUGACGCUAGUUGCGUUGGAGCCGUCCUUGAAAUACCACCCUUGUAUGUUUGAUGUUCUAACUUAGACCCAUUAUCUGGGUUGAGGACAGUGCCUGGUGGGUAGUUUGACUGGGGCGGUCUCCUCCCAAAGAGUAACGGAGGAGCACGAAGGUGGGCUAAUCACGGUUGGACAUCGUGAGGUUAGUGCAAUGGCAUAAGCCCGCUUAACUGCGAGAAUGACGGUUCGAGCAGGUGCGAAAGCAGGUCAUAGUGAUCCGGUGGUUCUGUAUGGAAGGGCCAUCGCUCAACGGAUAAAAGGUACUCCGGGGAUAACAGGCUGAUACCGCCCAAGAGUUCAUAUCGACGGCGGUGUUUGGCACCUCGAUGUCGGCUCAUCACAUCCUGGGGCUGAAGUCGGUCCCAAGGGUAUGGCUGUUCGCCAUUUAAAGUGGUACGCGAGCUGGGUUUAGAACGUCGUGAGACAGUUCGGUCCCUAUCUGCCGUGGGCGUUGGAAGAUUGAAGGGGGCUGCUCCUAGUACGAGAGGACCGGAGUGGACGAACCUCUGGUGUUCGGGUUGUGUCGCCAGACGCAUUGCCCGGUAGCUAAGUUCGGAAUCGAUAACCGCUGAAAGCAUCUAAGCGGGAAGCGAGCCCUGAGAUGAGUCUUCCCUGACAGUUUAACUGUCCUAAAGGGUUGUUCGAGACUAGAACGUUGAUAGGCAGGGUGUGUAAGCGUUGUGAGGCGUUGAGCUAACCUGUACUAAUUGCCCGUGAGGCUUAACCAUACAACACCCAAGGGGUUUUGUA
This 2917-nucleotide ribosomal RNA is filed under the name Vibrio metoecus. Its description in RNAcentral is "bacterial LSU rRNA". It matches the Rfam family "Bacterial large subunit ribosomal RNA". The record is from RNAcentral. Lineage: Bacteria; Pseudomonadati; Pseudomonadota; Gammaproteobacteria; Vibrionales; Vibrionaceae.